This 734-nucleotide ribosomal RNA is filed under the name uncultured Ochrobactrum sp. Its description in RNAcentral is "bacterial SSU rRNA". It matches the Rfam family "Bacterial small subunit ribosomal RNA", at positions 770 to 1502 of the family's 1533-position model. The record is from RNAcentral. Lineage: Bacteria; Pseudomonadati; Pseudomonadota; Alphaproteobacteria; Hyphomicrobiales; Brucellaceae.
UAACAGGAUUAGAUACCCUGGUAGUCCACGCCGUAAACGAUGUCUACUCGGAGUUUGGUGUCUUGAACACUGGGCUCUCAAGCUAACGCAUUAAGUAGACCGCCUGGGGAGUACGGCCGCAAGGUUAAAACUCAAAUGAAUUGACGGGGGCCCGCACAAGCGGUGGAGCAUGUGGUUUAAUUCGAUGCAACGCGAGGAACCUUACCUACUCUUGACAUCCAGAGAAUUCGCUAGAGAUAGCUUAGUGCCUUCGGGAACUCUGAGACAGGUGCUGCAUGGCUGUCGUCAGCUCGUGUUGUGAAAUGUUGGGUUAAGUCCCGCAAUGAGCGCAACCCCUAUCCUUAUUUGCCAGCACGUAAUGGUGGGAACUCUAGGGAGACUGCCGGUGAUAAACCGGAGGAAGGUGGGGACGACGUCAGGUCAUCAUGGCCCUUACGAGUAGGGCUACACACGUGCUACAAUGGCGAGUACAGAGGGUUGCAAAGCCGCGAGGUGGAGCUAAUCUCACAAAGCUCGUCGUAGUCCGGAUUGGAGUCUGCAACUCGACUCCAUGAAGUCGGAAUCGCUAGUAAUCGUGGAUCAGAAUGCCACGGUGAAUACGUUCCCGGGCCUUGUACACACCGCCCGUCACACCAUGGGAGUGGGCUGCAAAAGAAGUGGGUAGCUUAACCUUCGGGGGGGCGCUCACCACUUUUGUGGUUCAUGACUGGGGUGAAGUCGUAACAAGGUAACCA